This 253-nucleotide ribosomal RNA is filed under the name uncultured bacterium. Its description in RNAcentral is "partial 16S ribosomal RNA". It matches the Rfam family "Bacterial small subunit ribosomal RNA", at positions 524 to 776 of the family's 1533-position model. The record is from RNAcentral.
UACGUAGGGUGCAAGCGUUAAUCGGAAUUACUGGGCGUAAAGCGUGCGCAGGCGGUGAUGUAAGACAGUUGUGAAAUCCCCGGGCUCAACCUGGGAACUGCAUCUGUGACUGCAUUGCUGGAGUGCGGCAGAGGGGGAUGGAAUUCCGCGUGUAGCAGUGAAAUGCGUAGAUAUGCGGAGGAACACCGAUGGCGAAGGCAAUCCCCUGGGCCUGCACUGACGCUCAUGCACGAAAGCGUGGGGAGCAAAAGGG